This 1522-nucleotide ribosomal RNA is filed under the name uncultured delta proteobacterium Sva0405. RNAcentral's name for it is "bacterial SSU rRNA". It matches the Rfam family "Bacterial small subunit ribosomal RNA". The record is from RNAcentral. Lineage: Bacteria; Deltaproteobacteria.
AGAGUUUGAUCCUGGCUCAGAAUGAACGCUGGCGGCGUGCUUAACACAUGCAAGUCGUACGAGAACUCUUCUGCUUGCAGAAGAUAGUAAAGUGGCGCACGGGUGAGUAACGCGUGGGUAAUCUCCCUCUGACUCGGGGAUAACAUUGCGAAAGCGAUGCUAAUACCGGAUGACAUCAUGAAAACCUUGGUUUUUAUGAUCAAAGGUGGCCUCUACAUGUAAGCUUCCGAUUAGAGAUGAGCCCGCGUACCAUUACUUGUUGGUGGGGUAACGGCCUACCAAGGCUGCGAUGGUUAGCUGGUCUGAGAGGAUGAUCAGCCACACUGGAACUGACACACGGUCCAGACUCCUACGGGAGGCAGCAGUGAGGAAUUUUGCGCAAUGGGGGAAACCCUGACGCAGCAACGCCGCGUGAGUGAUGAAGGCUUUCGGGUCGUAAAGCUCUGUCGAGUGGGAAGAAAAACCAGAUACCAAUAAUAUCUGGGACUGACGGUACCACUGAAGGAAGCACCGGCUAACUCCGUGCCAGCAGCCGCGGUAAUACGGGGGGUGCAAGCCGUUAUCCGGAAUCAUUGGGCGUAAAGAGCGCGUAGGCCGGCCCUAUAAGUCAGAUGUGAAAGCCCGGGGCUUAACCCCGGAAGUGCAUUUGGAAACUAUUGGGCUUGAGUAUGGGAGAAGGAAGUGGAAUUCCUGGUGUAGAGGUGAAAUUCGUAGAUAUCAGGAGGAACACCGGUGGCGAAGGCGACUUCCUGGGACCAAUACGACGCUGAAGGCGCGAAAGGCGUGGGGAGCAACCAGGAUUAGAUACCCUGGUAGUCCACGCAGUAACCGUUGAACACUAGGUGUAGCCGGGUAUUGACCCCUGCUGUGCCGCAGUUAACGCAUUAAGUGUUCCGCCUGGGGAGUACGACCGCAAGGUUAAAACUCAAAGGAAUUGACGGGGGCCCGCACAAGCGGUGGAGCAUGUGGUUUAAUUCGACGCAACGCGAAGAACCUUACCUGGAUUUGACAUCCCGGGAAUUCUUUCGAAAGAUUGAAGUGCCCUUCGGGGAACCCGGAGACAGGUGCUGCAUGGCUGUCGUCAGCUCGUGUCGUGAGAUGUUGGGUUAAGUCCCGCAACGAGCGCAGCCCCUAUCUUUAGUUGCCAUCAUUCAGUUGGGAACUCUAGAGAUACUGCCCCGGUCAACGGGGAGGAAGGUGGGGAUGACGUCAAGUCCUCAUGGCCUUUAUGUCCAGGGCUACACACGUGCUACAAUGGGCUGUACAAAGGGUCCGAACUCGCGAGAGUUAGCCAAUCCCAAAAAGCAGUCCUUAGUUCGGAUUGGAGUCUGCAACUCGACUCCAUGAAGCUGGAAUCGCUAGUAAUCGUGGAUCAGCAUGCCACGGUGAAUACGUUCCCGGGCCUUGUACACACCGCCCGUCACACCAUGAGAGUUGAUUGUACCGGAAGUUGUUAGGCCAACCUUUUAGGGGGCAGGCACCUAUGGUAUGAUUGAUGAUUGGGGUGAAGUCGUAACAAGGU